Molecule: long non-coding RNA, 513 nt
Organism: Lolium perenne
Lineage: Eukaryota; Viridiplantae; Streptophyta; Magnoliopsida; Poales; Poaceae
Source: RefSeq, a predicted model, not a curated record
UGAAGAAACACCAACUUUAGAUGUGGCUGCUCGAACGAGCACGUCACAUACUUUAGUUAUUUCAGAAAAACCAGUUGAAGGGGAGGAAUCGUCGCCUCCUCAACAAAAUGUUAAUACAUCUACUCCUCCUUCGAGCCCCCGUGCCCCUUCACCAAAAAGGGCACGGGUUGAAAAGAUUGUUGAUCCUGCCCCUCAGUUGGGCAGUUCGUCGACUCUGCUCUUAGAUGAUCCAAUGAUCAAAGAGCUUCUUCGGAUCGGGUCCCAAUUUGUUGGGUACCGUGAAUAUGCCGCCAGAGCCGAAGAAAAACUUUCAGAGGCUAACGAACGCGCCGACGCACUGGCUCAAAAACUUGAGCAAAGUGAGGCGGCUCGCAAGAAAGCCGAACUCGCUGCUAGCAAAGCCAAGGUCGAAGCUGAUGAAGCUAAGGCGAAAGCUGCUGGUGUCGAGGAACUGCAGAAGAAACUUGAGAAUGCGACAGCUGCCUUGGAUGAGCACAAAGCUGCACAAGCUUC